GACAGAGGUCCCGAGCGUUAGGCGGAAUCACUGGGCUUAAAGCGUGUGUAGGCGGAUGCCUAAGUACCUUGUGAAAUCCCACGGCUCAACCGUGGAACUGCUUGGUAUACUGGGUGUCUUGAGCCACUUAGGGGCUACCGGAACAAAUGGUGGAGCGGUGAAAUGCGUAGAUAUCAUUUGGAACGCCAAUGGUGAAAACAGGUAGCUGGGAGUGUGCUGACGCUGAGACACGAAAGCCAGGGGAGCGAACGGG
RNAcentral lists this ribosomal RNA (253 nucleotides) under uncultured bacterium. Its description in RNAcentral is "partial 16S ribosomal RNA". It matches the Rfam family "Bacterial small subunit ribosomal RNA", at positions 524 to 776 of the family's 1533-position model. The record is from RNAcentral.